RNAcentral lists this long non-coding RNA (369 nucleotides) under Ananas comosus (pineapple). RNAcentral's name for it is "long non-coding RNA (ACOM_LNC043855)". The record is from RNAcentral. Lineage: Eukaryota; Viridiplantae; Streptophyta; Magnoliopsida; Poales; Bromeliaceae.
AUAUUUCUGAGUUCUUCUUAUGUAAGGAUUAAUAGCUCCAUUUAUGAUAUUUCUUUAUGCUAUCAAUUGCAAUAUUCGGAUUCAUGAAGUUUGUACAUAGGCAUGUAGUCAGGCGAUAAGUUGCUGAUCAUUUGUGAGGUAAACAAAUUUUCUGGUAGAAGCUGGCAGUCAUUAGUUGGCACAAACAAGUGUUGUUUAAGCAUGUGGAUAGGCUUAAGUGACUGGAUAAGGUGUAAGCUUGAAUUUAUUUUGAUAUGUUUGAGUAUAGCAAAGAAAUGAUUCAAUGGAAUUCUCGAGUUACUAAGGUAAGUUGCAUAGUGAUUGAAGUUUUAUAGUUGGCAAAGACUUUCUUGCCGGACAUUUUGCUUG